This 549-nucleotide ribosomal RNA is filed under the name uncultured bacterium. Its description in RNAcentral is "bacterial SSU rRNA". It matches the Rfam family "Bacterial small subunit ribosomal RNA", at positions 356 to 896 of the family's 1533-position model. The record is from RNAcentral.
AGGGAAUCUUCGGCAAUGGACGGAAGUCUGACCGAGCAACGCCGCGUGAGUGAAGAAGGUUUUCGGAUCGUAAAGCUCUGUUGUAAGAGAAGAACGAGUGUGAGAGUGGAAAGUUCACACUGUGACGGUAUCUUACCAGAAAGGGACGGCUAACUACGUGCCAGCAGCCGCGGUAAUACGUAGGUCCCGAGCGUUGUCCGGAUUUAUUGGGCGUAAAGCGAGCGCAGGCGGUUAGAUAAGUCUGAAGUUAAAGGCUGUGGCUUAACCAUAGUACGCUUUGGAAACUGUUUAACUUGAGUGCAAGAGGGGAGAGUGGAAUUCCAUGUGUAGCGGUGAAAUGCGUAGAUAUAUGGAGGAACACCGGUGGCGAAAGCGGCUCUCUGGCUUGUAACUGACGCUGAGGCUCGAAAGCGUGGGAAGCAAACAGGAUUAGAUACCCUGGUAGUCCACGCCGUAAACGAUGAGUGCUAGGUGUUAGACCCUUUCCGGGGUUUAGUGCCGUAGCUAACGCAUUAAGCACUCCGCCUGGGGAGUACGACCGCAAGGUUG